GGGGAUGAAUUGGUUUCGACUGCAGCUAUUAGUCAGCAGUGGCACGCCGAUUGACCUGGCGUAUCGUAAAAACGGCGGGAUUAAAUUAAACGCAAACGAAAAUUUUGCACUCGCUGCGUAAGC
RNAcentral lists this transfer-messenger RNA (123 nucleotides) under Spirochaetota bacterium. Its description in RNAcentral is "Spirochaetes bacterium (wastewater metagenome) partial transfer-messenger RNA". It matches the Rfam family "transfer-messenger RNA", at positions 1 to 133 of the family's 374-position model. Rfam says of the family: Bacterial tmRNA, also known as 10Sa RNA or SsrA, is named for its dual tRNA and mRNA-like properties. Its role is to liberate the mRNA from a stalled ribosome. The record is from RNAcentral. Lineage: Bacteria; Pseudomonadati; Spirochaetota.